This 391-nucleotide ribosomal RNA is filed under the name uncultured bacterium. RNAcentral's name for it is "bacterial SSU rRNA". It matches the Rfam family "Bacterial small subunit ribosomal RNA", at positions 28 to 416 of the family's 1533-position model. The record is from RNAcentral.
GAUGAACGCUGGCGGCAUGCCUUACACAUGCAAGUCGAACGGCAGCACGGGAGCUUGCUCCUGGUGGCGAGUGGCGAACGGGUGAGUAAUACAUCGGAACGUACCCUGAAGUGGGGGAGUAACGUAGCGAAAGUUACGCUAAUACCGCAUAUUCUGUGAGCAGGAAAGAGGGGGAGUCGCAAGACCUCUUGCUUUAGGAGCGGCCGAUGUCGGAUUAGCUAGUUGGUGAGGUAAAGGCUCACCAAGGCGACGAUCCGUAGCGGGUCGUGAGAGGAUGAUCCGCCACACUGGGACUGAGACACGGCCCAGACUCCUACGGGAGGCAGCAGUGGGGAAUUUUGGACAAUGGGCGCAAGCCUGAUCCAGCCAUGCCGCGUGAGUGAAGAAGGCC